This 483-nucleotide ribosomal RNA is filed under the name Arthrobacter sp. l25. Its description in RNAcentral is "bacterial SSU rRNA". It matches the Rfam family "Bacterial small subunit ribosomal RNA", at positions 26 to 512 of the family's 1533-position model. The record is from RNAcentral. Lineage: Bacteria; Bacillati; Actinomycetota; Actinomycetes; Micrococcales; Micrococcaceae.
AGGAUGAACGCUGGCGGCGUGCUUAACACAUGCAAGUCGAACGAUGAACCUCGCUUGCGGGGGGAUUAGUGGCGAACGGGUGAGUAACACGUGAGUAACCUGCCCUUAACUCUGGGAUAAGCCUUGGAAACGGGGUCUAAUACUGGAUAUUGACUUUACAUCGCAUGGUGUUUGGUUGAAAGAUUUAUUGGUUUUGGAUGGACUCGCGGCCUAUCAGCUUGUUGGUGAGGUAAUGGCUCACCAAGGCGACGACGGGUAGCCGGCCUGAGAGGGUGACCGGCCACACUGGGACUGAGACACGGCCCAGACUCCUACGGGAGGCAGCAGUGGGGAAUAUUGCACAAUGGGCGAAAGCCUGAUGCAGCGACGCCGCGUGAGGGAUGACGGCCUUCGGGUUGUAAACCUCUUUCAGUAGGGAACAAGGCCAGACGUUGUCUGGUUGAGGGUACUUGCAGAAGAAGCGCCGGCUAACUACGUGCCAGC